UACGAAGGGGGCAAGCGUUGCUCGGAAUCACUGGGCGUAAAGGGUGCGUAGGCGGGUCUUUAAGUCAGGGGUGAAAUCCCGGAGCUCAACUCCAGAACUGCCGUUGAUACUGAGGAUCUUGAGUUCGGGAGAGGUGAGUGGAACUGCGAGUGUAGAGGUGAAAUGCGUAGAUAUUCGCAAGAACACCAGUGGCGAAGGCGGCUCACUGGCCCGAUACUGACGCUGAGGCACGAAAGCGUGGGGAGCAAACAGG
This 253-nucleotide ribosomal RNA is filed under the name uncultured bacterium. RNAcentral's name for it is "partial 16S ribosomal RNA". It matches the Rfam family "Bacterial small subunit ribosomal RNA", at positions 524 to 776 of the family's 1533-position model. The record is from RNAcentral.